RNAcentral lists this long non-coding RNA (226 nucleotides) under Zostera marina. RNAcentral's name for it is "long non-coding RNA (ZMAR_LNC002968)". The record is from RNAcentral. Lineage: Eukaryota; Viridiplantae; Streptophyta; Magnoliopsida; Alismatales; Zosteraceae.
UCAGGCGGCGACUCAGACGAGGUCAGGUACGGCUCCGGCGAGGUCUGCCGGCGGCUAUAGGGUUUUGGAAGAAAUAAAAGUGAGAGUGAUAAAGGAAAUUAGGGUUUUAUUAGAAGGGUAUUGGGUUUAUAUAGUUAGAUAGAAAUUGGAGGGGUAGGAAGGGAAAUUAAAAUAGUUUAAGUUAUUUCACAUGGGUAAUGGGUUGACCCAACCCAGUAACCCGACC